GAUGAACGCUAGCUACAGGCUUAACACAUGCAAGUCGAGGGGUAACGAGAGGAAAGCUUGCUUUCCUUGUCGACGACCGGCGCAUGGGUGAGUAACGCGUAUCCAACCUGCCCCCAACUAAGGAAUAACCUUGCGAAAGUAAGACUAAUACCUUAUAAUUUCCUCAGAUGUCAUCUGACGAGGAAUAAAGAUUUAUCGGUUGUGGAUGGGGAUGCGUCUGAUUAGCUUGUUGGCGGGGUAACGGCCCACCAAGGCAACGAUCAGUAGGGGUUCUGAGAGGAAGGUACCCCACAUUGGAACAGAGACCCGGUCCAAACUCCUACGGGAGGCAGCCAUGAGGAAUAUUGGUCAAUGGGCGGAAGCCUGGACCAGCCAAGUAGCGUGCAGGAUGACGGCCCUAUGGGUUGUAAACUGCUUUUAUACAGGAAUCAAGUUAGCCACGUGUGGUUAUUUGUAGGUACUGUAUGAAUAAGGACCGGCUAAUUCCGUGCCAGCCGCCGCAGUAA
This 506-nucleotide ribosomal RNA is filed under the name uncultured bacterium. Its description in RNAcentral is "partial 16S ribosomal RNA". It matches the Rfam family "Bacterial small subunit ribosomal RNA", at positions 28 to 523 of the family's 1533-position model. The record is from RNAcentral.